CUUCGAUAGUCUCCGAGCACCAGCAUGAGGAACCUAUCGGCUGUUGUGAUGAUAGUACUGAUGCUGGCUGUUGCCCAAGCGAUGUACCCCAUGUAUCAACAGGACCAAUCCUACGGUGACGGAUACAGUGAAGACGAUGAGCAUCGAUAUGGGUAUGACUACCCUAUCCCGAGAAGGCAGUACCGACCCCGCCCACGCAAUCCUUACUGGCAGCGUUACUUCCGUUACUAGGGCAGGUCCUGAAUCAGAUCCUGGAGACGAAAUCGUUGGGAGAUAAUGUACUCGGAAGGUUAUCUGUGAAGCAAUAAAGGCCGGAGCAAUAAUAAGCAGAACAUUAGCUGUGUUUUAAUCUCAGACAUGUGAAGUAGAGCAGUCAGUUUUACAAUGAACACUCAGUCAUCGUGUACAAGACGUUUGAAAAUUAACUUCAUGAAUUCACGUGAACCUCAUGUACAACUGAAACUUAAACUAUCGCCACCAUAUUUAAUGUAAUUUAACGAAGAAGCAAGCUCCUCUACUAUU
This is a long non-coding RNA of Haliotis rubra (blacklip abalone), 522 nucleotides long. RefSeq lists it as uncharacterized. Lineage: Eukaryota; Metazoa; Mollusca; Gastropoda; Lepetellida; Haliotidae. The record is from RefSeq and is a predicted model, not a curated record. The transcript is spliced from 2 exons.